GCACAAACUGAAUAACAAUGAGUAAUACCACGCCACGGAUUUAGAAAUUAGUGAUGGCUAGAACUACGACUUUUGAAUCACUUUCACGAAUCAACGAUUCGUGACUUUAGAGCAUAUAUCUCAAAAUUAUGGUACUUCAGCAGUAAUGGGACCUACUCUUGCACACCUCCAGGCCGCAGCUUCUUUGCUGUGAUUAGUUGACGAUUCACUGCUGAGGUUUCACUGCGGAUUGGAAGUGCAGUAAAAUGAAGGGGAUGUGCGUGCCAGCUUAGGGAGUAAGAAAACGGUGCGGGUUGAUACAAUGCCGUUUUUGUAUAACUUUUUAGCUAUAACAGAUAUUUAUGUGACAAUGUGACGGACAGGUUUGAAAAAAAUCAUAAAAAAUUAUAUUAAAAAUAUCUAAUUUAUUAUUAUUAUCACAUAAUUUGCCCAAAUUCUCAAUUAUCUUUGUGGAUACUUUUAUUCAUGUGCUAGAUGCAAAAGGAACAGAAUAUUAUAUAAUUCUUAGAUGUCCAAAUGCGAACAGAGGCUAGAGAGUUGAUGAUUGCUUAUCUCUAUCAUAGUAUAAACAUAACCUAAUAGUAUAAACCUAAACCUAAACAAUUCCCUUAAACUGAAAGCUGAGGCUUUCGCCCCUCGCAGUUUCAUCCAUAGUACGCGUUGCCGCACGCCGAGCUUGAACAUUAAAGACUCGGCGACUAGCCAACGGUAUACAUAUAUUAUUUACACAACCACGGUCGAGGGAGACGCGUGACGGGAGUCAGGAAGCGUAGAACAAACUAGACAAAGUGAAACAAACGCAACAAUUAUAAGAUGCAAGAGCGUUGACUUAUCUUUAAAGCAUUAACUUCAGAUUCUUGUAUUACUACGCGACGAGACUCUUCGACUAUCCUUCGUAUUCGACCCGAAUCAAGAUAGAAAUGGAAGGAGCGAAGAAAGAGCGGAACACUCCGAUUCUUGCUACAUUGUGAUCCUGAUUUAAUUUGCCAUUUCUGAAACACAAUAAAAGUACUUUUCCUAUAAAUAGUUCUUGUUUGAUUUUAUACAAUGUUUUCUAUCACAUACCGCUUUUCCGUUAUCUUUUAAACGCGUUCGGGAGUCACAAAGUAGGCAACUGUACGAGUUCUUUCGUAACUUCGCAUCCUAAAUUCACGGACCUUACACACCGAGGGUGGGAAAACUACAAAACAUCCACUAUUUUAUAGAGAAAUUCAAAUUUAUUAUGAAAAAAUAUAUAUAUAUUAAUUCUGCCACAAUCUUAAUAUUUUGUCUUUCCCUCCAGAUGCAACACGCAAUCCAUCUGGAGACCAGUCCACACCAUAAACUUCAUCUGCAUGACCAGGGAGAUCUUGACAAAGCUUCUUGGUCUUCACACUCCAAACUAAAAUAAAAAGACCCAAUAUAUUAGUUUAAAAUAAAAAUUAGUAUAUUAAUUAUUUAUGAAAAGGAUUCACUAGCCUUUCAAUGUGGAAUCUGCACUACCACUAACGAGUAAACGGGAAUCUGCACUCCAUGCUAUUGCAUACACGGCCUGUACGUGGCCUCUCAAUGAAGCUAUAUAUUUUCCUGUAUUAGAUUCCCAUAAUUUUAUGGACUUAUCGAAAGAAGCUGAUGCUAUUAUCCGGCCAUCUGGUGAAAAUUUUACGUCGUUUAUCAGUUGUUGAUGACCAGUCAUUCUUGCUGAAAAAAUUUGUAGAUAAAUUUACGUUACUUGAUAA
This is a non-coding RNA of Megalopta genalis, 1718 nucleotides long. NCBI's taxonomy places the organism in Eukaryota, Metazoa, Arthropoda, Insecta, Hymenoptera, Halictidae. The record is from RefSeq and is a predicted model, not a curated record.